RNAcentral lists this long non-coding RNA (1947 nucleotides) under Limulus polyphemus (Atlantic horseshoe crab). RNAcentral's name for it is "uncharacterized LOC111089740". The stretch from base 1565 to 1636 matches the Rfam family "mir-12 microRNA precursor family". The record is from RNAcentral. Lineage: Eukaryota; Metazoa; Arthropoda; Merostomata; Xiphosura; Limulidae.
GUGGCAAUCAGUGUUUUGUCACUGCUGGGAGGAGGUGAGAAAGGCCUGAUUUUGAGCUGUUCUCUUAUGGUUAGCGAGUCGAACUAUGAAUCUGAGACUCCGUUGUUCGGGCUACGCACUUCAGAGCCGUGGUACGUUAUAAGAACAAUGGUCAAAUUCCAAUAUUCGGUCUGACAAGAAUAGCCCAAGAGUUGACGAUGAAAAGAUGUUUGAACAGAAGAAACGUAUUCUUCUAAUGAUUUCCGUCAAGGUUUGAAAUAUUUUGUUUUAAUCUUGCAUGGGUGUUUCUCUGCAUGAACCCUGGUCUCCUUUGUUCUCGCACCAUCUUCUAAACUAUCUGUAGUGGUGGCGGUCUAAUCUCAUGAGGUAACUCUGGAUAGGCCUAUUUCGGGGUACCUAGUGAGAUGCGAUAGGCACCAUGUUUCUCACCAAUCUAACCACCUUCACGUCUGUUUGAAAUCAACAUACAGCAAGGACUGCUCUUGUAUUAAUGGUGGUGGAUGGAAAGGGUUUAAUUUUUUCUUUCUGUUUUUUUUUCCUAUGAAUUUUCGAAUGUUUUUCUCCUCCUAUGAUUUUUUCUCAUAUCAAAUUACUCACGAGAAAAACAUUCGAAAAUUCCAAAUUGUAUUAAUAAAACUGAAUGUAAGUAAUAAAUAAAUAUGAUUUAAAAUAGUUUAAUUGAUUAAUACUCUAGUAGUUUCGUUUGUUAACUUUUAGUGAUUAAAAUUUAUUAAUAUACAUGGCUAUAGUUUCUGUGAAUUUAAGUUUUAUCUCAGCAGAUGGUAGCAUUAUACACAUGGAGUUAAUAAACACGACACAAGUUUACGGUGGUAGUUAGGCCUAAGGUAUCUUCAUCGAUUGGUAAAAUCGUAACAUGAGUUUUUAGUGUUGAGAAGUAACACAGAAAUCGUAACUUUAACAUAAUUUGUGUAAACGAAUAAAAUUCUACAUAAGAAAAAACUUAUAAAAGCGUUAAUUUAUUGUAAAUACUACUAUUAAUAUCGUAGAAAAUUAAAAUAUAUUAUGUUUGAAAAUAAAACAGUUGAAAACCCAAGUACAUUAAUUCAAUUUGAAGAAAUAAAACUUGAAUGAACUAUUUGGAUUAAAGUAAUCAAUAAUAUAAUUAACUCGUUUUACAGGUUUGUGGACAUUUGCUGUAAGACCCUAAUUUUGAAAUGCUUGAAAGAAUUUCACGCAAUUUGUGAAGUCUGUAAUAUUAACUUGGUGACAUGUUUUCAGGCAUGCUGAGUUAGUUGUUUGCUGAAUUGUAUUUUAUUUAGUUUUGCAGUUGACUUGACACUUUUCUUUAUAUAUUUUUUAUUUGCCCCAAAUUUUAUUGCUGCAUGUUUUUGUAUUAAAAUAAAUACAUAUAUGGUAGUUAACUAAUUCCCCGUUAUCUAAUCAUUUUUCAAAGAAAAAAUAUCAAGGUACUUUGUAGAAAUUAAAAAUAUUGUCGUAACAAACCAUUAUUUUUUUUUUCUGUCUUGAAAACUACUUUAAACCGUACAUUGCCGUGCUUAUAUUUUUGUUUUGGUCAUUCCCAAAGCAUGGUGGGACAGCUUCCAGUAGAUGAGUAUUACAUCAGGUACUGGUAUUUUUGAUUUCAUAACCAGUACUUAUGUGAUAUUCGUCUUCUGUUUGCGGCAUGCAUCGGUUCGUUUCCUGCACGAUGUGUUGUAUCACUACGCCAUCUCGUGACGCUUCGAGUAGUAUACUGUUACGACAAUACUGUUUUUAACUGAUUUAUAUUUAAUGCAAUUAAUUUUCUUAGCACAUUAAAAAAAUUACUGUGAAAUUGUAGUUUUUUUCUCCAAUAAGUCUGUGUCAGUCAUAUUAUUAGACAUGAAAAAUGCGUUGUUAUUAUCGAACUGUUGUAUACAAAUAAAAAAUAUUUGAAUAUCAUUUUAGUAAUAGUAUGCCUUAUACAAAAUGUUUACUAAAUAAAUA